UAAUACGUAGGGGGCUAGCGUUGUCCGGAUUUAUUGGGCGUAAAGAGCGUGUAGGCGGCCAAGUAGGUCCGGUGUGAAAACUCGAGGCUUAACCUCGAGAUGUCAUCGGAAACCAUUUGGCUAGAGUCCGGAAGAGGAAAGUGGAAUUCCUGGUGUAGCGGUGAAAUGCGCAGAUAUCAGGAAGAACACCAAUGGCGAAAGCAGCUUUCUGGGACGGUACUGACGCUGAGACGCGAAAGCGUGGGGAGCGAACAGGAUUAGAUACCCUGGUAGUCCACGCCGUAAACGAUGGGCGCUAGGUGUGGGCGGUGUCGACUCCGUCCGUGCCGAAGCUAACGCAUUAAGCGCCCCGCCUGGGGAGUACGGCCGCAAGGCUA
This 377-nucleotide ribosomal RNA is filed under the name uncultured bacterium. RNAcentral's name for it is "bacterial SSU rRNA". It matches the Rfam family "Bacterial small subunit ribosomal RNA", at positions 521 to 896 of the family's 1533-position model. The record is from RNAcentral.